AGGGCACCACCAGGAGUGGAGCCUGCGGCUUAAUUUGACUCAACACGGGAAAACUCACCCGGCCCGGACACUGGAAGGAUUGACAGAUUGAGAGCUCUUUCUUGAUUCAGUGGGUGGUGGUGCAUGGCCGUUCUUAGUUGGUGGAGUGAUUUGUCUGGUUAAUUCCGAUAACGAACGAGACUCUAGCCUACUAAAUAGAUCGUCGGCUUACAAACGCCGGCGAGACUUCUUAGAGGGACAGGCGGUGAUUCAACCGCACGAAACAGAGCAAUAACAGGUCUGUGAUGCCCUUAGAUGUCCGGGGCCGCACGCGCGCUACACUGAAGUGAUCAGCGUGCUUUUUCAACCUACUCUGUCAAGAGUGGGGAACCCAAUGAACCUUCUUCGUGAUUGGGAUAGGGGAUUGUAAUUAUUCCCCCUGAACGAGGAAUUCCCAGUAAGCGCGAGUCAUAAGCUCGCGUUGAUUACGUCCCUGCCCUUUGUACACACCGCCCGUCGCUACUACCGAUUGAAUGUUUU
RNAcentral lists this ribosomal RNA (519 nucleotides) under uncultured eukaryote. RNAcentral's name for it is "SSU rRNA". It matches the Rfam family "Eukaryotic small subunit ribosomal RNA", at positions 1161 to 1699 of the family's 1831-position model. The record is from RNAcentral.